Molecule: long non-coding RNA, 1149 nt
Organism: Solanum lycopersicum (tomato)
Lineage: Eukaryota; Viridiplantae; Streptophyta; Magnoliopsida; Solanales; Solanaceae
Source: RefSeq, a predicted model, not a curated record
CACUCAAUUGACAAAAAUCUCCAAAUUAAUCAAUUUUACUUAAAUUAUCCAAUUUUAAUCCGACUCAACCCACCUAAUAAUAUAACCCAUUUUAUUCUAUCUUCAUCUUCAAACUUGUGAAUUCCCGUAGCUUUAAGUACAUCGGAAAAAUUCCAAUAAUGUUCUAAAGCUGACAUAGGUUGAAACAUAUGCAUCACAAUUCAUCAAUUAAUAAUUUCUUCCAUACCUGCUUGAUAUAAAGUUCAAUGUUGGUGGAUGGUUCAUGAACUAUGCGAGAUCUUCAAAUAAGACAGAAGAAGUUUCCAAAGAGACCCACAUCGAUAGCAAUGUCCAGCCACCACCGUGACUCCGAUAGACCGAAGAAAAUCAGCAACGACGAAUUGGAGCUCCAAACUCCAGUAAUUCCUACAAUUUUUUUUAGAUCUAACUGAGAAAUAAUGCUUGGAUUAUCCGUAUUUAAUCAUUGUUGUGUUCUUGUGUUUAUAGUCAUUUAUUACAUUAUUUUUGAUAUUGUUGGGAUGUGUUGGAUGAUUUUAUUGUUUUUGAAAAGGAACACAAGUUUGAGGAUGAAGAUGAAGAGAGAACAAAAAUGAGUUAUAUUAUUAGGUGAAUUGGGAUCAGAUUAAAAUUAUGUAAUUUAAGUAAAAAUUGAUCAUUUUGAAAAUUUUAUUUUUAUAAUGUUUCCUAAUAAAUAUGAUAUAAAUAUAUAAAUGAUUGGGUAAUUUCUCCAUAAUUGAAUGAAUUAGAAAGGCCCAGAAGUUGUGGGUUUUGCUACUAAAUCCGAGCCCAUAUGAAUUUUUUCAUCCCUCCUAAACCCUAAAGUCACCCCACCACCUAUAAAAACUCCUGUUUCCUCAUCAAUCCAUUCAUCUUUCACUUUGCUAUGGCUGCCCUUGAUCCAUUUAUCUAGUAUUACGUUUUUUUGCUAUGGCUGCUCGGGUUCGAUUCUGAUACUAUUUGCGUUUUCCUUUCAAAUUUCACUCUUCUUUUAGUACUUUGGUUUCGUCUUUUUGCUAUAUUUAUGGUUUGUUUUGGGAGUUUCUCAGUGAUGAACAAACACAGAUGACGAGUCUGAUAUCCAUUCUUUUAAAAUUAUGAAGACGAAACGAGGCAUUUGUCUGAGAGGAACUCCGAUCUGAAUCAUUUUUU